AAUGCUGAGGAGGCUGAAAAUGGCCAAUAUGAAGACUUAAAACACCUUCUAGAACUGACACCAAAGAAAGAUGUUCUUCUCAUUCUAGGGGAUUGGAAUGCUAAAAUGGGGAGUCAAGAGAUAAAAGGAGCAACAAGUAAGUUUGACCUUGGAGUUCAACAAGCUGGUCAUCACAAACACUCUUUUCCAACAACACAAGGGGCGAGUCUAUACAUGGACAUCACCAGAUGGGCAAUACUGAAAUUAGAUUGAUUAUAUUCUCUGCAGCCACAGAUGGAGAAGCUCUAUACAAUCAGCAAAAAACAAGCCCUGGAGCUGAUUGUGGCUCUGAUCAUCAGCUUCUCAUAGCAAAACUCAAGCUUAGACUGAAGAAAGGAGGAAAACCCACUGGGCUAGUCAGGUAUAAUCUAAACCAAAUCUGUUAUGAAUACAUAGUGGAAGUAAAGAAUAGAUUUAAGGAACUAGAUUUGGUGGACAGAGUGCCUGAAGAACUAUGGAUGGAGGCUCAUAACAUUGUAGAGGAGGCAGCAAUAAAAAACGUCUUAAAGAAACGGAAAUGCAAGAAAGCAAAGUGGCUGUCCAACGAGGCCUUACAAAUAGGAGAGAAGAGAAGGGAAACAAAAUGCAAGGGAGAUAGGGAAAUUUACAGAAAAUGGAAUGCAGACUUCCAAAGAAUAGCAAGGAGAGACAAAAGGGCCUUCUUAAAUGAACAGUGCAUAGAAAUAGAGGAAAAUAAUAGAAAGGGGAAAACCAAAGAUCUGUUCAGGAACACUGGAGAUAUUAAAGGAACAUUUUCUGUAAAGAUGUUCAUUAUAAAGGACAAAAAUGGUAGGGACCUAACAGAAGCAGAAGACAUCAAGAAGAGGUGGGAAGAAUACACAGAGGAACUACACCAGAAAGAUUUGGAUGUCCCGGACAACCCAGAUAGUGUGAUUUCUGACCCUGAGCCAGACAUCCUGGAGAGUGAAGUCGAAUGGGCCUUAGAAAGCAUGGCUAACUACAAGGCCAGUGGAGGUGAUGGCAUUCCAGUCAAACUACUUAAAAUCUUAAAAGAUGACACUGUUAAGAUGCUGCACUCAAUAUGCGAGCAA
Molecule: long non-coding RNA, 1091 nt
Filed under: Pogona vitticeps (central bearded dragon)
Lineage: Eukaryota; Metazoa; Chordata; Lepidosauria; Squamata; Agamidae
Description: lncRNA (ENSPVIG00000002793.1)
Source: RNAcentral